GACCGGUUUCGUCGUUCAACAC
Molecule: microRNA, 22 nt
Filed under: Fasciola hepatica (liver fluke)
Lineage: Eukaryota; Metazoa; Platyhelminthes; Trematoda; Plagiorchiida; Fasciolidae
Description: fhe-miR-11585
Source: miRBase by way of RNAcentral